GGUAACACCGGCGGCCCGAGUGGUGAUCGUGAUUAUUGGGUCUAAAGGGUCCGUAGCCGGUUUGGUCAGUCCUCCGGGAAAUCUGAUAGCUCAACUAUUAGGCUUUCGGGGGAUACUGCCAGACUUGGAACCGGGAGAGGUAAGAGGUACUACAGGGGUAGGAGUGAAAUCUUGUAAUCCCUGUGGGACCACCUGUGGCGAAGGCGUCUUACCAGAACGGGUUCGGCGGUGAGGGACGAAAGCUGGGGGCACGAACCGGAUUAGAUACCCGGGUAGUCCCAGCCGUAAACGAUGCUCGCUAGGUGUCAGGCAUGGCGCGACCGUGUCUGGUGCCGCAGGGAAGCCGUGAAGCGAGCCACCUGGGAAGUACGGCCGCAAGGCUGAAACUUAAAGGAAUUGGCGGGGGAGCACAACAACGGGUGGAGCCCUGCGGUUUAAUUGGACUCAACGCCGGACAACUCACCGGGGGCGACAGCAAUAUGUAGGCCAAGCUGAAGACUUUGCCUGAAUCGCUGAGAAGUGGUGCAUGG
Molecule: ribosomal RNA, 530 nt
Filed under: uncultured archaeon
Lineage: Archaea
Description: bacterial SSU rRNA
Rfam family: Archaeal small subunit ribosomal RNA
Source: RNAcentral